Molecule: unclassified non-coding RNA, 283 nt
Filed under: uncultured fungus
Lineage: Eukaryota; Fungi
Description: partial contains small subunit ribosomal RNA, internal transcribed spacer 1, and 5.8S ribosomal RNA
Rfam family: Eukaryotic small subunit ribosomal RNA (bases 1-73)
Source: RNAcentral
CCAAACUUGGUCAUUUAGAGGAAGUAAAAGUCGUAACAAGGUCUCCGUUGGUGAACCAGCGGAGGGAUCAUUACCGAGUUUUCAACUCCCAAACCCCUGUGAACAUACCUGAACGUUGCUUCGGCGGGACCGCCCCGGCGCCCUCAGCGGCCCGGAACCAGGCGCCCGCCGGAGGACCCAAACUCUUGCUUUAAACAGUGGCAUUCUCUGAGUCUCACAAACAAAAUAAAUCAAAACUUUCAACAACGGAUCUCUUGGCUCUGGCAUCGAUGAAGAACGCAGC